GAUGAACGCUAGCGGCAGGCCUAACACAUGCAAGUCGAGGGGCAGCAUAUCCAGCUUGCUGGAUGAUGGCGACCGGCGCACGGGUGCGCAACGCGUAUGGAACCUGCCCUUUACAGGGGAAUAGCCUUUGGAAACGGAGAUUAAUGCCCCAUGGCACCUUCCGAUGCAUAUCGGGAAGGUUAAAGGCUUCGGCCGGUAAGGGAUGGCCAUGCGUACCAUUAGCUUGUUGGUAAGGUAACGGCUUACCAAGGCGACGAUGGUUAGGGGCCCUGAGAGGGGA
This 280-nucleotide ribosomal RNA is filed under the name uncultured bacterium. RNAcentral's name for it is "partial 16S ribosomal RNA". It matches the Rfam family "Bacterial small subunit ribosomal RNA", at positions 28 to 302 of the family's 1533-position model. The record is from RNAcentral.